GCCAAAGUAGCUCACUUUGGAGAGUAUUAGACUGAUGAUCUAAAGGUCUGUCAUUCAAUCCUGGACUUUGGUA
RNAcentral lists this transfer RNA (73 nucleotides) under Pelodiscus sinensis (Chinese soft-shelled turtle). It matches the Rfam family "tRNA". Rfam says of the family: Transfer RNA (tRNA) molecules are approximately 80 nucleotides in length. Their secondary structure includes four short double-helical elements and three loops (D, anti-codon, and T loops). Lineage: Eukaryota; Metazoa; Chordata; Testudines; Trionychidae. The record is from Rfam by way of RNAcentral.